AUGAACGCUGGCGGCGUGCCUAAUACAUGCAAGUCGAGCGAACAGAUGAGGAGCUUGCUCCUCUGACGUUAGCGGCGGACGGGUGAGUAACACGUGGAUAACCUACCUAUAAGACUGGGAUAACUUCGGGAAACCGGAGCUAAUACCGGAUAAUAUAUUGAACCGCAUGGUUCAAUAGUGAAAGACGGUUUUGCUGUCACAUAUAGAUGGAUCCGCGCCGCAUUAGCUAGUUGGUAAGGUAACGGCUUACCAAGGCAACGAUGCGUAGCCGACCUGAGAGGGUGAUCGGCCACACUGGAACUGAGACACGGUCCAGACUCCUACGGGAGGCAGCAGUAGGGAAUCUUCCGCAAUGGGCGAAAGCCUGACGGAGCAACGCCGCGUGAGUGAUGAAGGUCUUCGGAUCGUAAAACUCUGUUAUUAGGGAAGAACAAAUGUGUAAGUAACUAUGCACGUCUUGACGGUACCUAAUCAGAAAGCCACGGCUAACUACGUG
Molecule: ribosomal RNA, 496 nt
Filed under: uncultured bacterium
Lineage: Bacteria
Description: partial 16S ribosomal RNA
Rfam family: Bacterial small subunit ribosomal RNA
Source: RNAcentral